CUGCAGCCCGAGUGGUGAUCGAUUUUAUUGAGCCUAAAGCGUCCGUAGCCGGACUAGUAAACCCUUGGGUAAAUUGGGCAGCUUAACUGUCCAAAUUCCGAGGGGACUGCUAGUCUUGGGACCGGGAGAGGUCAGAGGUACUCAAGGGGUAGGGGCUAAAUCCUGUAAUCCUUUGGGGACCACCAGUGGCGAAGGCGUCUGACUAGAACGGAUCCGACGGUAAGGGACGAAACCCUGGGGCACGAACCGGAUUAGAGACCCGAGUAGUCC
This 270-nucleotide ribosomal RNA is filed under the name uncultured archaeon. Its description in RNAcentral is "partial 16S ribosomal RNA". It matches the Rfam family "Archaeal small subunit ribosomal RNA", at positions 477 to 747 of the family's 1478-position model. The record is from RNAcentral.